CUUUAGCUUCUUGUGGGUUCCACGUUACCCUAUCUUCUCUUUGACGUCCUGAGGUCCUCCCACAUGACGUUCCCUUCUCACCAUCUCUCUGGCUGUUAUUCCUUCCAGUUUCUUCCUUGCUAUACACCCAGGUGGUGUUCUACCUCCCUGGUGAUUACCCUAAUUUCAUGAUAAGGUUGGUGAGAUGAAGGCGAUUCGCUUAAGCUGAGUGUGGUCAUUGCCAUUCGAGAGAAGGCUUCCUUUCCCUUGGGUUCUCCAAGUGCUCUGAGGUGGAGUGCCUCUUGCUUUACAGAUGAUCGUGUUCUGGCUUUUAGGGGAAGCAUUCAGACUCCAAAGCUGUUGCAUGAGAUGAGUUCCUUCUUUGUUGACUGUGUAAACACUGUGUACACUGAUGUCAAGCGUAUUCUUGAAACGAGCCAGUCUGCUUUGCUUGACCCUAUUCCCAAGGGAUAUUGGUAAUAGUUUUGCGUGACAAUGUGGGAUUUUUCCUUUUAAACAAUCAUGAUUACUCUCCUUUCUUUUUUAUUUUAAUUCGUUUAAUAAUUACUCCAACACAUUUCUCUUACACAUACACUUUUCCGUCAAUCAAAUAAACGUGACUGACAAUAUAUUUCCGGCGUCAAUGGCUGUUUUCUAAGAUAACCCUACAUCAUUUCUGAGAGCCUAGUGCAAGAACUACAAAAUCCUCAUGUCCCAACGUAUCACGUUACAACCCUGAAACUGUAGUGAGGUUUUCAGGUGGCAUUCAUUAACUUGAGCAAUUGCAUUUCUUUGGAAAUGGACGUUACUUAGGUAGCUUUUAGACACAAAUACUGGCAAACUAAGAUAUUACCUGCAUUUCCCUUAUGAUGCUAAGAAAUCUUGUUUAGAAAUACAUGCAUGAUUGUGUGUUUUCUCUCAGCUAGGAUGAUGGCUCAGUUCAAGGAUGAUUGGAGGAGAGAACAGUUGCUGAAUGAUGAUCUUCAAAAGAAAUUCGGUAAGUAUCUCUGACGACCUCUUUGUUUCCACAGCCUGUAUUAAACAUUCAGGUUUUUGGUUCUUUCGGCAUCCCCUCUCUUCUUACCUAUAUGCCAUCUUUUGGCUCACAUGUCAUCUCCAUGUCUUCCCUCUCCUCCCUCAAGGUUUCUGUUUAUGGACAUCUCCCAUCCUAAGUUCUCUCCG
RNAcentral lists this long non-coding RNA (1161 nucleotides) under Sus scrofa (pig). Its description in RNAcentral is "lncRNA (ENSSSCG00070001154.1)". Lineage: Eukaryota; Metazoa; Chordata; Mammalia; Artiodactyla; Suidae. The record is from RNAcentral.